GUUAAAAUCAGACCGUUUCGGAAUGGAAAU
Non-coding RNA from Methanocaldococcus jannaschii DSM 2661, 30 nucleotides. The record is from Rfam. Lineage: Archaea; Methanobacteriati; Methanobacteriota; Methanococci; Methanococcales; Methanocaldococcaceae.